Molecule: unclassified non-coding RNA, 201 nt
Filed under: plant metagenome
Description: partial contains small subunit ribosomal RNA, internal transcribed spacer 1, and 5.8S ribosomal RNA
Source: RNAcentral
UCUCCGUUGGUGAACCAGCGGAGGGAUCAUUAUCGAGUUUAUAACUCCCAAACCCUAUGUGAACUUACCACUUGUUGCUUCGGCUCGCGCUUCGGUGCCGCCGAGGACACUUAAACUCUCUGUUUUUAUAAGCAUUUCUGAGUGGCCGAAAGGCAAAAUACAAAUGAAUCAAAACUUUCAACAACGGAUCUCUUGGUUCUG